UACGUAGGGGGCAAGCGUUAUCCGGAUUUACUGGGUGUAAAGGGAGCGUAGACGGCAGCGCAAGUCUGGAGUGAAAUGCCGGGGCUCAACCCCGGAACUGCUUUGGAAACUGUGCAGCUAGAGUGCGGGAGAGGUAAGCGGAAUUCCUAGUGUAGCGGUGAAAUGCGUAGAUAUUAGGAGGAACACCAGUGGCGAAGGCGGCUUACUGGACCGUAACUGACGUUGAGGCUCGAAAGCGUGGGGAGCGAACAGG
Molecule: ribosomal RNA, 253 nt
Filed under: uncultured bacterium
Lineage: Bacteria
Description: partial 16S ribosomal RNA
Rfam family: Bacterial small subunit ribosomal RNA
Source: RNAcentral